RNAcentral lists this ribosomal RNA (179 nucleotides) under uncultured bacterium. RNAcentral's name for it is "partial 16S ribosomal RNA". It matches the Rfam family "Bacterial small subunit ribosomal RNA", at positions 1322 to 1500 of the family's 1533-position model. The record is from RNAcentral.
GCAGCCGGAACUUGCUAGUAAUGGCAGGUCAGCAUACUGCCGUGAAUACGUUCCCGGGCCUUGUACACACCGCCCGUCACACCAUGAGAGUUGGGAAUACCCGAAGCCUGUGAGCUAACUAUUAGAGGCAGCAGUCGAAGGUAGAAUCAAUGAUUGGGGUAAAGUCGUAACAAGGUAGC